Molecule: ribosomal RNA, 492 nt
Filed under: uncultured bacterium
Lineage: Bacteria
Description: partial 16S ribosomal RNA
Rfam family: Bacterial small subunit ribosomal RNA
Source: RNAcentral
AGUGAACGCUGGCGGUAGGCCUAACACAUGCAAGUCGAACGGCAGCACAGUAAGAGCUUGCUCUUACGGGUGGCGAGUGGCGGACGGGUGAGGAAUACAUCGGAAUCUACUUUUUCGUGGGGGAUAACGUAGGGAAACUUACGCUAAUACCGCAUACGACCUACGGGUGAAAGCAGGGGAUCUUCGGACCUUGCGCGAUUGAAUGAGCCGAUGUCGGAUUAGCUAGUUGGCAGGGUAAAGGCCCACCAAGGCAACGAUCCGUAGCUGGCCUGAGAGGAUGAUCAGCCACACUGGAACUGAGACACGGUCCAGACUCCUACGGGAGGCAGCAGUGGGGAAUAUUGGACAAUGGGCGCAAGCCUGAUCCAGCAAUACCGCGUGGGUGAAGAAGGCCUUCGGGUUGUAAAGCCCUUUUGUUGGGAAAGAAAAGCAGCAGGUUAAUACCCCGCUGUUCUGACGGUACCCAAAGAAUAAGCACCGGCUAACUUCGUG